This 419-nucleotide long non-coding RNA is filed under the name Nicotiana benthamiana. RNAcentral's name for it is "long non-coding RNA (NBEN_LNC028716)". The record is from RNAcentral. Lineage: Eukaryota; Viridiplantae; Streptophyta; Magnoliopsida; Solanales; Solanaceae.
GAAAAUGAGGCACAAGGUCCCGGUUUCGGUAUGAUUAGCACGCCCCCACUCUUGCUAGUCUUCCAUCAAAUGACCAAAUCAAUGAAUGGAAAGAUAGGGCUGCUAAAGCUAGCAAAAAGCUGGAAUAUGUGGAAUACAGUCUGCUGGAAUUGAAAAGAAAAGUGAGGAAGAGAGCCACCGAUUUCUAGAACGCUGAGGGAAAUGAAGGAGAACAUCUGGCAAAGGUAUUUUUACAGGUGAACCUACGAAAACUGGAGGAUUUGAUCAACGAGAGCGUUCAACCUAGGGAAGGUCCUUCUAGGACCAAAUAGAUAGGAGUUUCCUUCAUUGAAAUGUAAUAGGGCCAAUGGCCACUAGCAACUAUUAUCUGCUAUUAUCUACUGUCGAUUUGGGAUUCGUCUUAUUUUCUAUUAAUAAAA